GGGCCUACAAGCAGCGGCUCUUCCCUCAAUUCCUCUCCCUUUCUAUCCUGCGCCUCCCCCCUCUCCUGCUCCUGCCCUUGUCGCCGCCCUCCUCCCCUCUGCGCCAGCAGCUGCAGACCUCCUCGUUCCUCGCCGCCGUCGAGUCGUCGCAGGAACGAUCCCCCGCGGGCGUAGAUGGCGGUGAACCCUCGCGUGUUCUUGGACAUCACCAUCGGCGGUAUCCAGCAGGAUCGGGUCGAGAUAGAUCUGUACAGGGACGAGGUCCCCUUGGUGGCUGAAAACUUCCGCAUCCUCUGCACCAAGGAUAGACCGGUCUCGUUCAAGGACUCCAUCUUCCCGUACAUCAUUCGAGACUUGGUGUGCCAAGGCGGCAACUUGAAGGAACGCGACGGCACCCGCUUCGGGACCAUCUACGGCGAUAAGUUCCCCGACGUAGAGAUGUCGGGACGAAGGCAUAGGCCAUUUGACCUCAUCACGGCCCACGCAGUCCCCAAGAUUCCAAGGAAGCACACCGGUCCCUACCCCUACACCUGUGGAUCGCAGUUCUUCAUCUGCUUCAAAGCGGCCCCCAUUUUUGACGAUCAGCACGUCGUCUUUGGCACCGUCGCAACUGGCAGGAAGACUGUCUUGAACAUGAGCGCCGCCGGCUCCUGCAGCGGGAUCCCCACGCAGGUGGUCAAGGUCGUCGAUUGCGGUCAGAUCUGGUAGAUCUCCGUCUAUUGCAUCUGCAGCUUGGUGGCGUUGGGCGGACACUGUGGCACGGGGGAGCAUCUGAUCAGAAUUUGGAGGUGAAAUGGCCACGACAAGCGCUCUGGCACUUUGGAUAGUUCAACACGUUCAGAAAAUUCAAUGCAUCAGAGCCCCCCAAGAAAAACAGUUUGCUUUUGCGAAUGAAGAGUUGAGUCUAAUGUCAAUUUCUCUUUGCAUUGCUAUCGUUGGAGCUAUUGGUGAGUUGGCAAGAACGCUAUUUGCUCUGUAUUGCAGUGACUUCCUUUCUUGGGUAUGAACAUAGCAUAGCUUCUGCUACUGUCGUUUUCAGGUUUAAUACCACAUAAUUUUUGUUAUGCUUCUGUAUUCUAACUAGGAAUAAAUUAAUAAAUGGGUGGUUAGGAUCUUUAAUUGAGGUGAAUUUGACCUGCCAGAUGGAUUGCAGAUCACUGCCUGUAUGUUCUUUGGCAACUUCUCAUAUGAUAUUUCUUUAUUAUUAUA
This is an RNA transcript of Sorghum bicolor (sorghum), 1209 nucleotides long. It is a transcript of the gene named peptidyl-prolyl cis-trans isomerase, with no coding region annotated. The transcript has 3 exons. The record is from RefSeq and is a predicted model, not a curated record. NCBI's taxonomy places the organism in Eukaryota, Viridiplantae, Streptophyta, Magnoliopsida, Poales, Poaceae.